RNAcentral lists this ribosomal RNA (250 nucleotides) under uncultured bacterium. RNAcentral describes it as "partial 16S ribosomal RNA". It matches the Rfam family "Bacterial small subunit ribosomal RNA", at positions 524 to 773 of the family's 1533-position model. The record is from RNAcentral.
UACAGAGGGUGCGAGCGUUAAUCGGAAUUACUGGGCGUAAAGCGCACGUAGGUGGUUUGGUAAGUCGGAUGUGAAAUCCCCGGGCUUAACCUGGGAAUGGCAUUCGAUACUGUCAAACUAGAGUCUGGUAGAGGGUGGUGGAAUUCCAGGUGUAGCGGUGAAAUGCGUAGAUAUCUGGAGGAACAUCAGUGGCGAAGGCGGCCACCUGGACUGAGACUGACACUGAGGUGCGAAAGCGUGGGUAGCAAAC